This 253-nucleotide ribosomal RNA is filed under the name uncultured bacterium. RNAcentral's name for it is "partial 16S ribosomal RNA". It matches the Rfam family "Bacterial small subunit ribosomal RNA", at positions 524 to 776 of the family's 1533-position model. The record is from RNAcentral.
UACGUAGGGUGCAAGCGUUGUCCGGAAUUAUUGGGCGUAAAGAGCUCGUAGGCGGUUUGUUGCGUCGGCUGUGAAAUCCCGAGGCUCAACCUCGGGUCUGCAGUCGAUACGAGCAAACUAGAGUGUUGCAGGGGAGACUGGAAUUCCUGGUGUAGCGGUGGAAUGCGCAGAUAUCAGGAGGAACACCGGUGGCGAAGGCGGGUCUCUGGGCAGUAACUGACACUGAGGAGCGAAAGCGUGGGGAGCGAACAGG